UUCUCCUGCUCCUUUGCUGAUCCCUACACAGAAGCCUGGCUCCCAUCGCAGGGGUCCCCUGAGAAUGGAGAACAAACUUAGAGGAGACACUAAGUCCUGGAGGCAUCCAAACACAUGGAGGAGAUGCCGAGUGAUCUAGAGAGACGCCAUGAAGUGGAUGGAGAGGCAGGGCAGAAGGAAGAAUUUCCCAGGAGAAGCAGUGGCUCCAUGCUAGCCUCUGCUGCAGGAAGGGAGGCGAUGCCAGGCACAGGCACAGGAG
This is a long non-coding RNA of Passer domesticus (house sparrow), 259 nucleotides long. RefSeq lists it as uncharacterized. The record is from RefSeq and is a predicted model, not a curated record. The transcript is spliced from 3 exons. NCBI's taxonomy places the organism in Eukaryota, Metazoa, Chordata, Aves, Passeriformes, Passeridae.